Molecule: ribosomal RNA, 484 nt
Filed under: uncultured bacterium
Lineage: Bacteria
Description: partial 16S ribosomal RNA
Rfam family: Bacterial small subunit ribosomal RNA
Source: RNAcentral
AUUGAACGCUGGCGGCAUGCUUUACACAUGCAAGUCGAACGGCAGCGCGGGCUUUGUCCUGGCGGCGAGUGGCGAACGGGUGAGUAAUACAUCGGAACGUGCCCAGUUGUGGGGGAUAGCUCGGCUAAAGCCGGAUUAAUACCGCAUACGACCUGAGGGUGAAAGCGGGGGAUCUUCGGACCUCGCGCUAUUUUAGCGGCCGAUGGCAGAUUAGCUAGUUGGUGGGGUAAAGGCCUACCAAGGCGACGAUCUGUAGCUGGUCUGAGAGGACGACCAGCCACACUGGGAGUGAGACACGGCACAGACACAUACGGGAGGCAGCAGUGGGGAAUUUUGGAGAAUGGGCGAAAGCCUGAUCCAGAAAUGCCGAGUGUGGGAUGAAGGCCUUCGGGUUGGAAAGCACUUUUGGCGGGAACGAAAAGGACUGUGCCAAUACCACGGUUCGAUGACGGUACCCGCAGAAUAAGCACCGGCUAACUACGUG